AGCAGCCGCGGUAAUUCCAGCUCCAAUAGCGUAUAUUAAAGUUGUUGCAGUUAAAAAGCUCGUAGUUGAAUUUCGGGGUCAGCAGGUUGGUCGUGCCUCUGGUACGCACUGGUUUCGCUGAUUCCUCCUUUCUGAAGAACUGUAAUGUCAUUAAUUUGGUGUUGCAGGGAAACAGGACUGUUACUUUGAAAAAAUUAGAGUGUUUAAAGCAAGCUAACGCUUGAAUACAUUAGCAUGGAAUAAUGAAAUAGGACGUUUGAUCCUAUUUUGUUGGUUUCUAGGAUUGACGUAAUGAUUAAUAGGGAUAGUUGGGGGCAUUAGUAUUCAAUUGUCAGAGGUGAAAUUCUUGGAUUUAUUGAAGACUAACUACUGCGAAAGCAUUUGCCAAGGAUGUUUUCAUUAAUCAAGAACGAAAGUUAGGGGAUCGAAGACGAUCAGAUACCGUCGUAGUCUUAACCAUAAACUAUGCCGACUAGGGAUCGGAUGAUGUUAAUUUUUUAAUGACUCA
RNAcentral lists this ribosomal RNA (508 nucleotides) under uncultured fungus. Its description in RNAcentral is "SSU rRNA". It matches the Rfam family "Eukaryotic small subunit ribosomal RNA", at positions 569 to 1078 of the family's 1831-position model. Lineage: Eukaryota; Fungi. The record is from RNAcentral. RNAcentral also lists the same sequence under 1 other name.